This 576-nucleotide ribosomal RNA is filed under the name Amorphinopsis excavans. Its description in RNAcentral is "LSU rRNA". It matches the Rfam family "Eukaryotic large subunit ribosomal RNA", at positions 666 to 1222 of the family's 3401-position model. Lineage: Eukaryota; Metazoa; Porifera; Demospongiae; Suberitida; Halichondriidae. The record is from RNAcentral.
CCAAGGAGUGCAACAUGCGUGCGAGUCUUUGGGUGGCAAACCCGACGGCGCAAUGAAAGUGAAGGCAGGCGUUGGUCUGCUGAGGCGAGAGUCUUCUUGUGGGGACGCAUCGUCGACCGAUCCUAGGUCACGCUGUGGCGGGAUUUGAGUGAGAGCGUGCCUGUUGCGACCCGAAAGAUGGUGAACUAUGCCUGAAUAGGGUGAAGCCAGAGGAAACUCUGGUGGAAGCUCGUAGCGAUUCUGACGUGCAAAUCGAUCGUCAAAUUUGGGUAUAGGGGCGAAAGACUAAUCGAACCAUCUAGUAGCUGGUUCCCUCCGAAGUUUCCCUUAGGAUAGCUGGAGCCCGGUGCAGUUUUAUCAGGUAAAGCGAAUGAUUAGAGGUCUUGGGGUUGAAACAACCUCAACCUAUUCUCAAACUUUAAAUGGGUAAGAAGCUUGGCUUGCUUAACUGAAGUCAGGCAUCGAAUGCCGGGGCUCCUAGUGGGCCAUUUUUGGUAAGCAGAACUGGCGAUGUGGGAUGAACCAAAUGCUGGGUUAAGGUGCCCGAAUCGACGCUCAUCAGAUACCAUGAAAGGU